RNAcentral lists this ribosomal RNA (253 nucleotides) under uncultured prokaryote. Its description in RNAcentral is "partial 16S ribosomal RNA". It matches the Rfam family "Bacterial small subunit ribosomal RNA", at positions 524 to 776 of the family's 1533-position model. The record is from RNAcentral.
GACAGAGGGGGCAAGCGUUGCUCGGAAUUACUGGGCGUAAAGGGCGCGUAGGCGGGAUGGCAAGUCGGUCGUGAAAUCCCUCGGCUCAACCGUAUUUAGUCGGUGGAAACUGCAGGACUUGAGGCUGGGAGGGGCUGGUGGAAUUCCCCGUGUAGCGGUGAAAUGCGUAGAGAUGGGGGAGAACACUCGUGGCGAAGGCGGCCAGCUAGACCAGUUCUGACACUGAGGCGCGACAGCGUGGGGAGCAAACAGG